GGUUCCGUGGUGUAACGGUUAGCACUUGGGACUCUGAAUCCCAAAAUCCGAGUUCAAAUCUCGGCGGAACCU
Orbicella faveolata is the source of this 72-nucleotide non-coding RNA. The record is from the annotation of a RefSeq genome assembly. Lineage: Eukaryota; Metazoa; Cnidaria; Anthozoa; Scleractinia; Merulinidae.